Long non-coding RNA from Numida meleagris (helmeted guineafowl), 4573 nucleotides. RefSeq lists it as uncharacterized. The transcript has 8 exons. Lineage: Eukaryota; Metazoa; Chordata; Aves; Galliformes; Numididae. The record is from RefSeq and is a predicted model, not a curated record.
UACCUAAAUUUAGGGGGGAGAGCUUUCCUAAGCUAAUCCAUAACCUGAAAAUGUGGAUGUAAAGGAGAGAGAACCUGAGGAAUACAAUUUCCUAGUGGUAAUUAUUUCCCACCGACUCAGAUGGAAGGACAGCGUGGACACCUAACAAAUACUGAUAAGGAGAAUAUGCCAAGUCAACUGGAUGAGUCAGCACGGGCAACAUAAAGGACCGCAGUUAAAAGCUAGGGCUAGGACUUGGAGGAUGUGUAGGCAAACGGAAGGAGAGCCGGGGGAAGAAAAGCCGAAAUGGAUUCAUUCUCCGUCCUGGCUGGAGGAGGAGAGGAGCGGGGACGUGCGGGCUGCCUGCAGCUGCCUCUGUCCGGUGAGAAGUGCUCAGAGCCCCGCGGCUGACUCGGGCUCAGGAGUCCGCGCGGACUUUCGCUCUAAGCUGCCAAUCAAACCGCUAACUAGCCACCACCCUGCGCUGGCACCGACAUGAGCCGAGGGAUCGCCUUGUGCCAGAGCCACCUCCGCAGCCCCUUCGGCCACCCCAGCCCCGAGCAGAGGCUGAGCACAUCUGAAUAUUCCUAUUCAACUCUGCAAACAGCCAGAGAUACUCCAAAACCGUGCGUGAGACCAGAUGAUGUGAAACUUUCCACCAUUAAACCCCUGUUCAGGCGCGCUCCAGAAGCAGGCAGCGCAUAGCAGCCCGGGGAUGCUGACAGACUGUUUGUCAUCGGAAGCCCUAAGCAGGUUUUUCCCCACUAACACCGCGUGCUGCGCUGUGCUCCCUUUCAGAAGAUGCUCUUUAAGUAUAGGAACACUUGACAAAUUUGCAUAAAAGCUUCAUCGUACAAGAUUGCUUGGAAGUUAAGCAGCAGCAGUUUUCCCCUAUUGUUUUAGGAAUAGAGAGUGCACUUUGUUUUCUUGUUUGCUCAGUGUACUUCCUGAUCCCUUGGUGCAUUUCUGUCAGCAUCACGGGACCUUGCUUACCUGGUAGAUUUUAAGUGUGAAAUGGGUCAUGUUCAAAGUACCCGAAAAAAACAACAGUAAUGGUGUCUGACAACUUUUUUUUUUUUUUUUUUUUUUUGCUCUUGUUAAAUAAUAUUUCAUGGUGCAUUAAGUGGGUUACGCAGCCUCUUCUGAGGAGACCACAGCAGUGUAUUGCUGCGUGCUCUGUGCUGUCGUCAGGCUGUUAGUUCUUAACUGGAGAAAAGCUGAAGGCAGCUGGAAUCCCUUCCUGAGCCUUUUCUCAGUUCUGAAUUUGAUAAAAAAUGGCAAUAAUUUGGAGACAGAUAUAGAAAGAAAAAAUAAAAAUGAUUUCACAAUAAGCCCCUUAGUGUGCCACUUGCGACCACAGGCAGAUAUUGGAAGUGCUAAAUCCACUGAACUUUACUUUUCCAGAAGCUGAAAUGUUUUCAGCCAAAUCUAUUUCUUGCUGGCAGCUUCAGAUGCUGUAGCUGGAACCAGAGCAGCCCAAGGAGAGAAGCAAACAAUUAAAACAUUUACAUGUUUGCUUCUUGAUAGACAUCUCUGCGAGGUAGGUUUUAACGUUUUUUUUUUUCUCUCUCUUUUUUUUUUUUUUUGCGGUAAGACGGAUAAGCUUGGAGUGCCCAGUCACCGUGGUAACUGCCAGAAAAAUUCUCCUGAAGUUUGAAGGGGUCAGCGCGCGGGGUCAACAACUCUGGCCUCUCCCCGCGCCGGGGCUGCAGGCUCCAUCCCGCGGCCGGGCCUUUGCGCGGGCUCAGCCCUGGGAGGUGGGCCGCUCCCGCUCUGAUAUAAAUUUUUUGAGUCAGUUCACGGCCUGGACUCUCCAGGUGGCCUCCAAAAUCGAUCGUGACCUUGUGACCCUGUCUAACGGAGGCAUAGCAUCCAACCUAAGUAAGGAUUUAGGCAGGAGCGACAGCUUUCCGCUGAGUGUUAUUGGGGACAGUGCAAACAGUUUUGGAAGCGAGGAGGUAGGUAUGAGGAGCUGAGGUCAUUAAAGGCACAUUAAAAAACAAUUUUAAAAGUCCUCGUUAGUGGAAAGUUCGUAUUAGCAUUAACUAUUCCUCAAAUAAACCGUUCUGUCAAGGACCCUUUUUUUCUCCCUAACAAUAUUACAUCAAGCAUGAACACAGGAAAAAUUAGCACUUUAUAUAUUCCAACCCAAACUCUUGUUUUGAUUUUUAACUUAUAAACGAAGGUGGCUCAUGUGUGGUGAGACGAGCUCCUGGGAAGCACGCUUUUGCUUUAAAUUCUUAAAACACAGGAGAUGACUUAAUAAAGCAGGAUGUUUUUUAGGGAGGAAUAUCUCUAAUGUAUGUGUUCUUUUUAGAUUCAAGAAGCACUUAAUUGGUAUAAAUUUAUUUUUAAACUGGGAAAUUAAGUCACACUCAGAAUGGAAUGAAAGUAGAGUUUCACAGGCUGCUUCCUUUGCUGAUCUGUAAUACAAAGGGACAAACCACAGCUUUGGAUAUAGAUGUUUUUGCAGAAGAAAAUUUUCAUCUUGCUUUAAGAGAAUAGAGAAAGUUAUAUUCUUCCUGUAAGAUUUUAAGCAACAAACCAUUGGGGUGGGGGCAAGGGUAGGCUGCUGCAGAGGUCUGAUUUUGUUAAAACAAAUCUAUAAACUUGUCCCCUGAGCAAGAGGACUUGCUGUCCUGGUUGAUUACUGCCCCUGCGAGCUCCCAGCUCUGUACACUGCGCUCACAAUCACAGUCACCAGGUGAGUAAGUGGAACUGCAUGGAGGAGCAAAGUCCAGUCUCCAAGGAGGAAAAUGCUCUCAAACUCUGAGUGACUUUAAAACUGCUAUGAAGGAAGAAAAUUGCAUUAAUGUUUGUUCCCAGUCUUGGAAAAAUUACACAAACUUAUCCCAGUGGGAAUCCUGCCCAAAGACUUCUUGUGCUCCCCAUGCUAAAUGGCUUCGCCCCGCCACGCAGUGCCAUCCACUGCAGCAGUGAGAGCCUCUUGCUAGGACUGGGGCAAAGCCCGACUCUGCACAAAGCCCAGAACCAGGGCCACCUAUUGGCCAAGGUCCUGCCUCCUAGGGCUGCCAUAAUCUGCCUGAAGGGGUUAUCUGAAAAGCAGGAGAGGAAUUGCUACUAAUAAGAGGGGCAGAACUGUGCCCUAAAUAAUGUGAGGCCCAGACCUGCACAUGCAGUAUCAGUAGCAACACUCACUCUCAUUCCAUCCUCACUAUUGCCCAUAGUUUUUUGCUGUUAUUUUUUAAUAGAACUGUACCAAAAACAAUUUAUUCACAUUAGCACAUGUGUUGGUUCAGGGGAGUGCCCUCUAUGACUAAGCUUGGCAAGGCAGAGCUCACAGUCCUUGGUGAGGAUCAGCGUAUUUGAUUCGUUUUCAGAAAAAGCAUUUAAAAAUAGGAAUUGCAAGCAGCUGCAAGGUGAAUCCUCAGUGGUUUCAAAAGCAACUGCAGAAUUUUUAGUAGCUUUCUUUCUUUCUUUCUUUCUUUUUUUAAUAUUCAUAUCUCCUUUGUAAAGUGAGCAUACAGUGUCCCAGUUCCACCUGACAAGCAGGGUGGAUGAUCCAACCAUCUAAAGCAGAGGAUCCAACCAUCGCACUGGAACUCUGGAAAGAAUUACCCCAAACUUUCUCAAAAGACUUGGGAGGAGGAAUCAUCAGCAGAGGGAGUGACAAGGGUGUCUCCAGACCGUUUACUUGCUGCAAAUUCUUUUGAGCUGAACGCUAUAGAUCCUGUCCAAUUUAUAAUCAACUGCAAAUCUACAAAUGCUACUUGAAACAGGCCCCUGGGUUUGCAUCUUUUGUAACUCUUCACCUUUUUUUAUUGCUCAUCUCAUGCAGCUGGGAUGUGGCGUGUGUUGACAGUUGCUGCAGUGGGACUGCUCAUCUUCCUUGGCCCCUCCAGAUCUGGGAAGUUCCCACUCCCAAUCAUCUGAUUCCAUGAAAUACCUUCUGAAGUGCAGACUGCUUUCAUUUGAACAGAACGAUAUACAUGAAUGGGCUUAACACAGUGUUAGAGAUGAGCGGUCGGAAUCAGCAAGGGCGCUGGGCUGGUGGUUCCCAGCCUCUAUCAUAUGGAUCACUGAUAAUCCAUGGGGCCUUGGCAAGAUGCUAUGGAGCCUGGGUGACAUCAGAAGGAGAAACUUACUAGAAGAAGUCUUUGCUACUAUACAUAUAGAAGAAUUAUGAUGGUGGUGCCCUGCUGUUGAUCAGUCAAAUCUGUGGUGGGCCUAGAGAUAAGUCCUAAUCUGGGAUAGUUUCACUCCGAACAACAAACGUGGACACUGCUGAACGGGGAGGAGGAGGGGAACCCAGCCACCCAAUGUUUGCAGACUCUGGCGCAGCAAAGUGGUGGACUCAAGGCAAGUUCUGCCACGGAAUGGCUGCUGCACGUAUCUGCUUGUGCAGUGGGUAAACAAAGCAUCACAUGGGCUGCAGGCUGAGCACGAGGCAUGUGGCUGACCCAUACGUGUAUGAGGCAUGCAGGAGGGACAGCGAAUUUCAAACAUUGUUAGAGCCUGAUGGGAUAUUCAGGAACUUCCCCCAAAAAACUCAAACAGAACAAACCUCAAAUUGAUUAUAACUGAAAAAUUAUUUGGCUUGAUUUCUACUGUUUUUCUACAAGUUUCAGUGAAU